AUUGGACCGAACACGACCGAGGCUAAAGUGCUGAUUGAUCAUCAUCAGCGAGUAAGAUGUACGACGCUCUAGUAAACGUGACGAUGGAAAUUGAAAGAACUGUGUAAAAAGUUCAACCUGUCCAGUGAAUCACCAUGAGAAUAUCCCUUUGGUUGUACGGGCCUGUAAACACUUGGCGCCGAGUUUCCAGCCAUAUGAUCAAUCAACCAUGACGAACCAAACGUUGACAAACCAACUAGGGAAGCAUUAAAAUGCUCUGCGAAGCCGAUGAGAGCGUCUGAAUGCGUUGGUUCCAGGACGAUCAUGUCGAAGUGCUCGGAUUUAUUAUGUAGCAGCGACUGCACUCCUAAGUCGCUGAGAAUGCCGUGUGACAUGUUGUAAUGAAAGCUGGAGGCUACUAAAGAUUCCUUCCAUUUGCUGGCUGACCACGCUGUAUAAUCAAAGGUCAAUACAACUGCAAGUGUGUAGAACACCGAAGGUUCUUCAGUGAUUCUUAGAAACUCUUUCAAGAUAAACUUCACAACAAUCACGCAGAUGAAGAGAACGAGAAUUGUAGACAAUGCAAUACGACCGAAGAGUAUCGAGAAUAUGUUGAGUUUAUAAUAAGGAACAAAUGCCAUGUCCUGAUCCGUCAUUCGCAUGUGAGGAGCUCCCUUGUGCCUUAGUACAUAUUCUGUCCACCAGAUGGCGCUCUCGAUGGGACUUUUUGGCU
Molecule: long non-coding RNA, 712 nt
Organism: Drosophila sulfurigaster albostrigata
Lineage: Eukaryota; Metazoa; Arthropoda; Insecta; Diptera; Drosophilidae
Exons: 3
Source: RefSeq, a predicted model, not a curated record